Molecule: ribosomal RNA, 1107 nt
Filed under: Triticum aestivum (bread wheat)
Lineage: Eukaryota; Viridiplantae; Streptophyta; Magnoliopsida; Poales; Poaceae
Description: partial small subunit ribosomal RNA
Source: RNAcentral
AUGUUCUCUUCCAAGAAGGCCACUAGCAGCAGCGCUGGCGCGGUGGCGGUGCAGGGGGGCGGGGCGCCCAUGUGCGUGCAGGGCGACUCGGGCCUCGUCCUCACCACCGACCCCAAGCCGCGCCUCCGGUGGACGGUGGAGCUCCAUGAGCGCUUCGUCGACGCCGUCGCCCAGCUCGGCGGCCCCGACAAGGCGACGCCGAAGACGAUCAUGAGGGUCAUGGGGGUCAAGGGGCUCACUCUCUACCACCUCAAGAGCCACCUUCAGGUGCGUCCGGCCAUGUGUGUGUUGUUGCACCCUCUAAUUAGGAAAUUCAGGCUGGGAAAGCAGCCACACAAGGACUUCAACGAUCAUGCAGUUAAGGAUGCUGCGGCAGCAAUGGAGAUGCAUAGAAACGCGGCCUCUUCUUCAGGCAUAAUGGGGAGAAACAUGAACGACCGCAACGUGCACAUGAACGAGGCCAUCAGAAUGCAAAUGGAGGUUCAAAGGAGGCUGCAUGAGCAACUAGAGGUGCAGAAGCACCUCCAAAUGAGGAUUGAAGCCCAGGGAAAGUACAUGCAGUCCAUCCUGGAGAAAGCAUACCAGACGCUUGCCACCGGCGACGUCGCGGCGAGCCCUACUGCCGGGUACAAAUCCCUAGGCAGCCACGCCGGCGUCCUGGACGUGUGCUCCAUCAAGGACAUUGGCCCGGCUUCCAUGGGCUUCCCUUCCCUGCAGGACCUGCACCUCUACGGAGGCGGUCACUUAGACCUGCAGCAGCAGCAGCCAAUGGAGAGCUUCUUCGCGUGCAGCGAUGGCGGCGGCAUUGGGUCGUUGGGGAAGAAGAGGUCCAACCAGUACGCCGGAGGCAAGAGCCCUAUGAUGUGGGGUGACGACGACGACGGCGACGAGGAUGACAAGGGCGAUCAGCUACUCCAGAUGGCACCGCCGAUGAUGGACGACAUAGACUCCAUGUACGAAGCGAAGCCGAUGAUGACCAUGUCCGGCGACUCCGCUGGUAACAGAGGAUUCGACGGCGGCAUGGGGUCGAAGCUCGAGAGGCCGUCCCCCCGGCGGCCGCACAUGGGAGCCCAGAGGAUGGGCAGCCCGUCGGUGAUCUACGGGUAA